RNAcentral lists this ribosomal RNA (484 nucleotides) under uncultured bacterium. RNAcentral describes it as "partial 16S ribosomal RNA". It matches the Rfam family "Bacterial small subunit ribosomal RNA", at positions 30 to 507 of the family's 1533-position model. The record is from RNAcentral.
AUUGAACGCUGGCGGCAGGCCUAACACAUGCAAGUCGAGCGGAUGAAGGGAGCUUGCUCCUGGAUUCAGCGGCGGACGGGUGAGUAAUGCCUAGGAAUCUGCCUGGUAGUGGGGGAUAACGUCCGGAAACGGGCGCUAAUACCGCAUACGUCCUGAGGGAGAAAGUGGGGGAUCUUCGGACCUCACGCUAUCAGAUGAGCCUAGGUCGGAUUAGCUAGUUGGUGGGGUAAAGGCCUACCAAGGCGACGAUCCGUAACUGGUCUGAGAGGAUGAUCAGUCACACUGGAACUGAGACACGGUCACGACUCCUACGGGAGGCAGCAGUGGGGAAUAUUGGACAAUGGGCGAAAGCCUGAUACAGCCAGGCCGCGUGUGUGAAGAAGGUCUUCGGAUUGUAAAGCACUUUAAGUUGGGAGGAAGGGCAGUAAGUUAAUACCUUGCUGUUUUGACGUUACCAACAGAAUAAGCACCGGCUAACUUCGUG